AUUACUAUUAAAUGAUACUUUAAAAGUUUCUGGAAUUUAUGAUUCAGGUUCAAAUGUGUCAUUAAUUAAUGCAAAAUUAUUGAAGAUACAACCAAAAGAAAUUACAAGUAAUAUACAAAUGGUAAAUUUGAAAACUAUCAAUGGUGAGAAGAAAACAAAAGGUAUGGUAACAUUAAAAAUAAAAAUCUACAAUAUGGAAAGAAUUAUGGAUGUUUUUGUGGUAGAUAAUGAAAAUUUUAAGUACGAUUUUCUAAUUGGUUUGGAUUGUAUCAAAGAUUUCAAAUUAUUGCAAAAUGAAGAAUUGAAAAUCAUACAAUGUAACAAUCCAAAAAAAAGAAUGUAACCUCAAAUGAACUGUAAUGAAAAUGAACUGAGUAAUCUAUGUACGUAUUAGUUUACAUGUAUAUAGAACAAAUAUUUAAAUAUAAUAUUAUUACUAAAUUUAAAUAUGUGUAAAGAAAACCACUUCACUCAUAUAUGAGCUCUUUUCUUUAAGUUUGUCUUUGCCGCGCUAUCGACAAAGCCUACUAGAUGUCACGACUGACAGUGGGGACAUUUAAUAAAAUAUGAGAGUGGGUUGGUAUGAUUGUGAGCAAUAGACUUUCCUAAGGAUAAUAUUUUCUAUAUUUGUUAAGAUAUAAAAAGACCUGAAGUAAAGGCUUUAAAUGUUGUUUCUUUCGUUUUACAGAGAAACGCAAUUACGUCUUUGUUUCAUUAUUCCCAAUUAACCAAGAGUGAAACCCCAUUAUAAAACAACAUUUUCUGCAAAUAUUUCACGAAACAUGGAAAAAUUGAGGUUUGAUUUUGCUGUGAAACCGACUUCAGAUGAAAAUCCAACAUCAUACGCAUAACCUCAAUAGCUACACCUGAUGGACAGAUUUUUGGAAUACCAGCCGAAGACCAACCUGCAAAUCUACACCAAGAAAUUACAAAUACUCCCAACUAUGCCAAGAUCAGAAAAUCAUUAAAUAAAAGACAUCAAACAAGAAAAAUAUGGAUAACCUUGACAGAUGAUAUAUCAAAAGUAUAUUUGGAUGGAGAACAAAACUUACAGUUUAAUGAUUUUUAUCUAGAAGAAAUUUUGGAAGAAACAAAUAGUGCUGAAUCUAUACCUAGUGGCUCAAAUCAAACGUUGGAAAAACUGUUGGAAAAAUUGCUUGAAGAUAAACAAACAAAAUCUGAAUCUCAAAAUUUAGGGAAAAUUGCAAAGGAUUUCAUGAUUGAGAAAUUCACUGGCAGAAACUCAAAUGCUUACGAGUGGAUUAAAGAUUUUAAUAAAGAAUGUGAACGUUUCCAAAUCAACGAAGACAAAAAGAAAAUUGAAAUUUUAAAAAACUUUUUGGGAUAUUCCAGUGUAGAUUGGUACAACUGCUAAUGAAACUUACAAUGGAAUCGGAAUGGAACAGAUGGGAGAAAAAUUUUUGUGAGACGUUUGCAAACAAAGGAUGGUCACCCAUCAGAUAUGCUCUUGCCUUUAAAUAUCAAGCAGGUUCGUUACUUGAGUAUGCUAAAAAAAAGAAAAAUUGUUACUGGAAGUAAGAAAAUCAAUUGAUAUUGGGACACUUAUAGACCUUAUAGCAUUUGGCUUACCUAAUUAUGUGGCUGAUAAAGUUGACAGAGAAACUUUACAAGGAACGGAAGAUCUCUACAAUGAAAUAGGAAAAUUGGAACAUCUUGCCGGGAAGAAUAAAUACGAUAAAAAAAGUAUUAUAUAUUCUGGCACUAAAUCCAAAAAAAUUGAAGAAAAAAAACCAUGCCAAAUUUGUGUCAACGAAAAAAAAGGAAAACGUUACCAUCUUGAAGACAAUUGCUGGUUUAAAGGGAAAAAUCAAAAAGCAGUUGUCAAAAUUGUAAAUAACUCGGAACUGGAAAUUGAACUGAACGAGAAGUUCCACCCUUAAUACAAGUAAAAUUACUAUUAAAUGAUACUUUAAAAGUUUCUGGAAUUUAUGAUUCAGGUUCAAAUGUGUCAUUAAUUAAUGCAAAAUUAUUGAAGAUACAACCAAAAGAAAUUACAAGUAAUAUACAAAUGGUAAAUUUGAAAACUAUCAAUGGUGAGAAGAAAACAAAAGGUAUGGUAACAUUAAAAAUAAAAAUCUACAAUAUGGAAAGAAUUAUGGAUGUUUUUGUGGUAGAUAAUGAAAAUUUUAAGUACGAUUUUCUAAUUGGUUUGGAUUGUAUCAAAGAUUUCAAAUUAUUGCAAAAUGAAGAAUUGAAAAUCAUACAAUGUAACAAUCCAAAAAAAAGAAUGUAACCUCAAAUGAACUGUAAUGAAAAUGAACUGAGUAAUCUAUGUACGUAUUAGUUUACAUGUAUAUAGAACAAAUAUUUAAAUAUAAUAUUAUUACUAAAUUUAAAUAUGUGUAAAGAAAACCACUUCACUCAUAUAUGAGCUCUUUUCUUUAAGUUUGUCUUUGCCGCGCUAUCGACAAAGCCUACUAGAUGUCACGACUGACAGUGGGGACAUUUAAUAAAAUAUGAGAGUGGGUUGGUAUGAUUGUGAGCAAUAGACUUUCCUAAGGAUAAUAUUUUCUAUAUUUGUUAAGAUAUAAAAAGACCUGAAGUAAAGGCUUUAAAUGUUGUUUCUUUCGUUUUACAGAGAAACGCAAUUACGUCUUUGUUUCAUUAUUCCCAAUUAACCAAGAGUGAAACCCCAUUAUAAAACAACAUUUUCUGCAAAUAUUUCACGAAACAUGGAAAAAUUGAGGUUUGAUUUUGCUGUGAAACCGACUUCAGAUGAAAAUCCAACAUCAUACGCAUAACCUCAAUAGCUACACCUGAUGGACAGAUUUUUGGAAUACCAGCCGAAGACCAACCUGCAAAUCUACACCAAGAAAUUACAAAUACUCCCAACUAUGCCAAGAUCAGAAAAUCAUUAAAUAAAAGACAUCAAACAAGAAAAAUAUGGAUAACCUUGACAGAUGAUAUAUCAAAAGUAUAUUUGGAUGGAGAACAAAACUUACAGUUUAAUGAUUUUUAUCUAGAAGAAAUUUUGGAAGAAACAAAUAGUGCUGAAUCUAUACCUAGUGGCUCAAAUCAAACGUUGGAAAAACUGUUGGAAAAAUUGCUUGAAGAUAAACAAACAAAAUCUGAAUCUCAAAAUUUAGGGAAAAUUGCAAAGGAUUUCAUGAUUGAGAAAUUCACUGGCAGAAACUCAAAUGCUUACGAGUGGAUUAAAGAUUUUAAUAAAGAAUGUGAACGUUUCCAAAUCAACGAAGACAAAAAGAAAAUUGAAAUUUUAAAAAACUUUUUGGGAUAUUCCAGUGUAGAUUGGUACAACUGCUAAUGAAACUUACAAUGGAAUCGGAAUGGAACAGAUGGGAGAAAAAUUUUUGUGAGACGUUUGCAAACAAAGGAUGGUCACCCAUCAGAUAUGCUCUUGCCUUUAAAUAUCAAGCAGGUUCGUUACUUGAGUAUGCUAAAAAAAAGAAAAAUUGUUACUGGAAGUAAGAAAAUCAAUUGAUAUUGGGACACUUAUAGACCUUAUAGCAUUUGGCUUACCUAAUUAUGUGGCUGAUAAAGUUGACAGAGAAACUUUACAAGGAACGGAAGAUCUCUACAAUGAAAUAGGAAAAUUGGAACAUCUUGCCGGGAAGAAUAAAUACGAUAAAAAAAGUAUUAUAUAUUCUGGCACUAAAUCCAAAAAAAUUGAAGAAAAAAAACCAUGCCAAAUUUGUGUCAACGAAAAAAAAGGAAAACGUUACCAUCUUGAAGACAAUUGCUGGUUUAAAGGGAAAAAUCAAAAAGCAGUUGUCAAAAUUGUAAAUAACUCGGAACUGGAAAUUGAACUGAACGAGAAGUUCCACCCUUAAUACAAGUAAAAUUACUAUUAAAUGAUACUUUAAAAGUUUCUGGAAUUUAUGAUUCAGGUUCAAAUGUGUCAUUAAUUAAUGCAAAAUUAUUGAAGAUACAACCAAAAGAAAUUACAAGUAAUAUACAAAUGGUAAAUUUGAAAACUAUCAAUGGUGAGAAGAAAACAAAAGGUAUGGUAACAUUAAAAAUAAAAAUCUACAAUAUGGAAAGAAUUAUGGAUGUUUUUGUGGUAGAUAAUGAAAAUUUUAAGUACGAUUUUCUAAUUGGUUUGGAUUGUAUCAAAGAUUUCAAAUUAUUGCAAAAUGAAGAAUUGAAAAUCAUACAAUGUAACAAUCCAAAAAAAAGAAUGUAACCUCAAAUGAACUGUAAUGAAAAUGAACUGAGUAAUCUAUGUACGUAUUAGUUUACAUGUAUAUAGAACAAAUAUUUAAAUAUAAUAUUAUUACUAAAUUUAAAUAUGUGUAAAGAAAACCACUUCACUCAUAUAUGAGCUCUUUUCUUUAAGUUUGUCUUUGCCGCGCUAUCGACAAAGCCUACUAGAUGUCACGACUGACAGUGGGGACAUUUAAUAAAAUAUGAGAGUGGGUUGGUAUGAUUGUGAGCAAUAGACUUUCCUAAGGAUAAUAUUUUCUAUAUUUGUUAAGAUAUAAAAAGACCUGAAGUAAAGGCUUUAAAUGUUGUUUCUUUCGUUUUACAGAGAAACGCAAUUACAUCUUUGUUUCAUUAUUCCCAAUUAACCAAGAGUAAAACCCCAUUAUAUAUGUAACAGGUAUUCCAACGCCGCCUACUACUUAUAUACAAAAUAAAGAAGGAAACUCUAUGCGAAAAAUACCAAGUGAAACUUCAGAUGUUAACAAUAUGGAAAAAUGGUUACUUGAAAGAAAUAAACGAUCUGUGGAAGUAGAAAGCGUACCAAGACUUUCACAACUUUAUAAAACAAAUAAAGAAAAAACUCUAAACGAUAUUGAAAAUAAAGAAGGUCAUAAUGAAUUAUGUUGUAGAAAAACUAAUUCGAACUAUCGGAGGAAAGAAUCCAGAGCAGCACAUAAGGUAUGCGUUAAAACUUACCGUCACUGACGAACUGGCCUAUAAGCUGUCUUGGACUGGACAGAAAAAUACGAUUGAGACGAAAUCUAUGAAGUUUGUAGACGUCAUUAUCGGCACGAUUUUAAAUUUUCUAUGUUACUACUAAUUGUACAGAGUUUGACAUUAUAUAUUUUUUUUCCAAAAUUAAUAUUCAUGCAUGUUACAAAUUUUUUUUUAAGUUGCUUUCAUUGAAAUUAUUAUUUCGAGUAAAUGCCAAAUAGAUUUCUUUCCAUGU
Formica exsecta is the source of this 5134-nucleotide RNA transcript. RefSeq lists it as uncharacterized. The transcript is spliced from 6 exons. Lineage: Eukaryota; Metazoa; Arthropoda; Insecta; Hymenoptera; Formicidae. The record is from RefSeq and is a predicted model, not a curated record.